GAGUGGCGGACGGGUGAGUAACACGUGGGCAACCUGGCUCAUAGAGGGGGAUAACAGAGAGAAAUUUCUGCUAAUACCGCAUAAGCACACACUGCCGCAUGGCAGAGUGUGAAAAGAGAAUCGCUAUGAGAUGGACCCGCGUCCGAUUAGCUAGUUGGCGGGGUAAUGGCCCACCAAGGCGACGAUCGGUAGCUGGUCUGAGAGGAUGAUCAGCCACACUGGAACUGAGACACGGUCCAGACUCCUACGGGAGGCAGCAGUGGGGAAUAUUGGACAAUGGGCGCAAGCCUGAUCCAGCCAUACCGCGUGGGUGAAGAAGGCCUUCGGGUUGUAAAGCCCUUUUGUUGGGAAAGAAAUCCUAUCGGUUAAUAACCGGUGGGGAUGACGGUACCCAAAGAAUAAGCACCGGCUAACUUCGUGCCAGCAGCCGCGGUAAUACGAAGGGUGCAAGCGUUACUCGGAAUUACUGGGCGUAAAGCGUGCGUAGGUGGUGGUUUAAGUCCGUUGUGAAAGCCCUGGGCUCAACCUGGGAAUUGCAGUGGAUACUGGAUCACUAGAGUGUGGUAGAGGGAUGCGGAAUUUCUGGUGUAGCAGUGAAAUGCGUAGAGAUCAGAAGGAACAUCCGUGGCGAAGGCGGCAUCCUGGGCCAACACUGACA
RNAcentral lists this ribosomal RNA (658 nucleotides) under uncultured Pseudomonadota bacterium. RNAcentral describes it as "bacterial SSU rRNA". It matches the Rfam family "Bacterial small subunit ribosomal RNA", at positions 93 to 745 of the family's 1533-position model. Lineage: Bacteria; Pseudomonadati; Pseudomonadota. The record is from RNAcentral.